Molecule: long non-coding RNA, 1143 nt
Organism: Balaenoptera musculus (blue whale)
Lineage: Eukaryota; Metazoa; Chordata; Mammalia; Artiodactyla; Balaenopteridae
Exons: 4
Source: RefSeq, a predicted model, not a curated record
UGAUCACCUGGAUGACAGAAGUGAUGCAGACAAACCGCAGCCCGCCGAGCAAACCUGGAAGCUCACAACCCACCAGGCUGGGAGGCCCGAGAGAGUUAACACACGUGAAACCCUGGGAGCUGGCCCCGGCCCACUGAUUGGGCUCAGGCACGAGGCUACGCAUAGCUCUGACCAUAUCAGAAGGAACUCAAGGUCCAGCCUUUUAUAUGGAGCAUUCCCAGGAGGCAAACCCAGAGGCAUUCUCCCCUCUCCUUUCUCAUUUCACCUGUCCUUGUCGUCACUCCUCUCCAAGGAGCCUGCAAGAAGGGCCUGUGCCCAGAACAGUCAGGAUUUCUACUUCAAGACGUGCCCUGGGACCAUAGUAGGGACAUGGCUUUACACCUUUCCAAAUGCGGUCACAGUCAUCAUCUGACGCCACCCUACAACUGUGAUAAGAAACCACUUUCUCCAAGUCUCGUUCCCCAUCCUGUAGGGCAGGAUCCUGAGGCAUCUCAGGGUGGGGAUGCUUGGAGAUGAAGACACUGGGGAAGCCGACCUGCCACCUUGGCCAAUGGCACCUGCUUUACUUCCACCAUAAUCGACGCAUCAGAAGAGCAGCCUCAGGCAGGUGCCCAGAGUUGGGGGAAUUUCUCUCAAAGAGGAUCACCCUCUGACCAACCAAUAUAAUAUCUAUCUAUCUCCACUCUUCUUCGAAGCUGCAUUUCUCAGCACAAACCCACGAACUGGCAGCAUGACCAGUAUCCCUAAGGAAGAGGAAGCCAAGAAGGAGAUGCCUUCAGUCCUCUGCCUGUCACCUGCCAGAGAACCAGGAUGCUUGGUGGGGUUGGCCUUCCUUUCUCCAAACUGCCAUCAGUUGUGACGUCACUGUCAGCUGUGCCCGGUGUCUAACUUUUCAUCUGUAUCAAUCAGCAUUGAGAGUCCACUGGGUGCCCAGGUCGGGAGGCUCGGCCCCAGGCUGAUGUUAACAUUCACCCCAAGGGGAGUGAGCUCCCUUGCAUUAUCCAGGCCCUGAUGACUGCCCAUGAAGCCAGAUUCCGUGCCCUACGGUGAGGGAUUUCAUCUGCGUUCAAGGUGAAGGGCAUCCAGGGGCAGGUGGGACACCAGCUGAAAGAGAGAACGGUCAUCGAGGAACUUACGAAGAUA